AACGAACGCUGGCGGCAUGCCUAACACAUGCAAGUCGAACGAGACCUCCGGGUCUUUGGGCGCACGGCGGCGUAACGCGUGGGAAGCGGCCCUUGGGUUCGGAAUAACUCCCCGAAAGGGGUGCUAAUACCGGAUAAGGUCUUCUGACCAAAGAUCUAUUGCCUUUGGAUGGGCCCUCGUUGGAUUCGCUAGUUGGUAGGGUAAAAGCCUCCUAAGGGGACGAUCCAUAGCUGGUCUGAGAGAAUGGUCAGCCACACUGGGACUGAGACACGGCCUAGAAUCCUACGCGAGGGAGGAGAGGGUGACAUUGGAGGCGGGGGGAAGGGCUGAUCCAGCAAUGCCCGGUAAGUGAUGAUGGCCGUAGGGAUGUAAAGCUCUUUUACCCGGGAUGAUAAUGACGGUACCGGGUGAAUAAGCCCCGGCUAACUACGUG
This 433-nucleotide ribosomal RNA is filed under the name uncultured bacterium. RNAcentral describes it as "partial 16S ribosomal RNA". It matches the Rfam family "Bacterial small subunit ribosomal RNA", at positions 29 to 507 of the family's 1533-position model. The record is from RNAcentral.